CCCUCAUUCAAACAUUUCCCUCAUAUGAGCUAGUAGGCCCCGCCACGCCGAAAAUCGCCUUCGGCGGUGGCGGACGUCCAAAACCUACAAUCCUCACAUCAAUGAAACCGUCUUCGUCUCCUCUACCCUAAUCCACCCUCGCUUUCUUCCAAUUCUCAACCAAACAUUCAAACCGAAGCCAAUUGCACAUGAACCCUAAUUCACUAAAACAAUAAUUAAACACAAGUAUGGAGGAAUCAAAGCCUAAUUCCUUAGCGUUUAGAUUCCUCAGGUAAAACCUCACAUGGAUGCAACAAGAAUAAGGGAAAAUGAAGGAGUAAUGAGGAGAUCCUACAUACAAGGACGAGUUAUUCCCCGGUUAGUAUUGAAUUUGACACAAAUGAAGAUGAGGACAAAGAAACUGCAUGUAAGCUUCAAUCUCACCAUUUCUUCCAUUCAAUUAUUUCCUCUUCUUCUUAAACUCUUUAGCCUGUAGGAUUGCUUCUUGUUGUUGUGUUCUUAUUUUUGUUGUGAUGAGUGAUGGAAAGUGAUUAAGGUGAGGUUCAAAGCUCAACUAUUUAAAGCUUUAAGUGUUGAAGCUCUAACAACAAUGAGAAGAGCUUGUGGUGAGGGUGAGGGAAUGGUUUAGAGUGAGAGAGAAAAUCCAUAGUUCUAAGGUGAUGAUUAUGAUAAUGAUCCCUCCUAAUUGAAUAAUGGAGUGUGUAACACCCUAAAAUUUUCCCUCCUCAUUCAUGCAUUCACUUUUAGGUCAUUUAACAUUUCAUAUUGCAUUUCAUCAUGUCAAUCAGAAUCAGAUCCAAGAAGCUUGAAUAUCAUCCAAGACACUUUGUGGGUUCUAUCCGGAUGAUCAGUCAACACAAGGGAAAAACUUGAGUUACUUACAACAGGUUCAAAUGGGGUCUAUUCAUCAUUCAAAACGCUAAUCUUGAAGGAGCAAAAUUCUGUUCCUGAGUUGUCAUGCUCGCUAGGCGAACAACAUGGUUCGCCUAGCGAACCUUGAACUGUCAUGCUCGCUAGGCGAAGCCCACGCGUUUUUGAAAUAUAUCAGAAAAAUCUUGGGCUUGAGUUGCCCUCAUUUGAGCCCACAAAGCCACGAAAAUCAGGUUAUAAAUACUAGAGUUUCAGUGGAACAAAAGACUGAAGAAAAAAAAGGGGAGAAAAAGAGGAGACCUACGAACUAAUCUGCAGCAGCCUCCAGACAGCUCUGAAAAGUUCACUCUGACUCACACACUUUUGCACCUCCAUCUCACGCAAACCCUAACGUUGCUUUGCAAACCCAGCCGUGCCAUUCGAUUUCAAUUGAUCUCUCCAAUCAGGUUUACCCUAUUUUCGCUGCUUUUAUGCUUUCAAUUUGAAUUCUCUGAAUGUAUGGGGUUUCAUUGGGUUUUGCCCACGGGUUUAGAUAUACAUAAAUGUAGAACAAUACCUUGAAUGUUCAAUCGUUUCGUUUCUGAGAUGGAGGCCAUAGGGUUUGGGUUACCGAGAUCAGACUAUUAUCAAUGAAGAACCCAAAACCCGCAGGCCUUCGCUAGCAUCUUCGCUAGGCGAGCCUGCAGUGAAGCUUCGCUAAGCCUUUGCUAGGCGAAGCAGUAGCGAGCGUGACAGUAAUUGAUUUUUUUCUGUUUGCUCUAAUCUAUUUUGUGUUCGUCAUGGCAUGUUUUCUCCUGAUUCCAUCCUGUUACUCUAACCUGUUUGUUGAGUUUUUGUGAGAGCUCACCUGACCCCUGAAGAGAUAGCUUGCUUAGUAUCCCACUUUAUUUGUGGGAUACCAUUUGGAGAUUUAUUCCGAUCACCUGUGCUGACUUGCUUUCUUUGGUGGUGCUAGCUUGAGAGAUCUCUGGGUUUCUUAUUUCUUUAGUUGCUCUUACUUCGGAUCUUUAUCCGUGCGGUAGAUCUCUUGAUCCCUUUUACAUUUUUCCCGCAUUUUACCGCUUUCUUAGCUGGAAGACCUCGAUAGGAGGCAAUGUUUUCGUGUGUUUACUUUUGUGCCCAAAGACCUCCCAGAAGAGGCACUAGUGCUAAAGACCUCCAUGAAGAGGCAAUUGACGAAAAAAGGGAUUAGUAGUCAAUCCCCCGUUAUUCAGUGCGUCGUUCUUUAAGAUCACACUACGUGUCGAUGCUUCAGAACAAAAGCCCAAGAUCUUUUGUCCGGUCGGUCAGUGGAGAGGGUUCCAUCCCCCACGCCUUGUCAUGAGCUCACCCUGUUCAAGGGUUUAAGAGCUAUAGGUCUUAUUACCCUUUUGAUCUGCUCACCCUGACGUUCAGUGUCAGUGGUUAAGAGCCCGUUUGAUUACCCUUCCAUGGCUUGUUUGUCGAGGUUGAUAUGACCCCUCUUGACUAAAGCCCUACCCAUAUAUGUUUGAGCCCCCCUGGUUUGUGUGUUUACUUUAUGCAUGUCUGUUUUGUAUGGUGUGCUCGUCUCCCCGUAGGAUUGCUAGGCUUCGUAUAGUCUCCUAUUUGCAUGUCAAUUAAGGUAGCACGGUUCCUUCGUCUAGGACUUCCUCUUGCGUGAGCAUUCCUAAAACGCAAACAAACCCAUUGUUUUUUUUUCUUCUCCUAAAAACACGUUCACUCCUUCUACUACAGGCGAGUAAGUCUCCAAAGGUCGAGCAUCCGAUAGAUUGCGCAGUAACGUCGUUCGUCCAAAACAAACCCCUAGCUGGCCGAACUACGUUUUGCUCUGAUUCUCAUUCCAGAUGAGAUAUGUAGGCAUAAGACGCGAUGUCUUAGCGAGCACACAUCCCUCUAACCCAUAGGUAGCCGAGCUACGAAGACUCUGAUUCUCAUAUUCAUAUGAGAUACGUAUGUAGUGGAUGCGACAUCCGUGCGAGUCAUUUUCUUUUGACCCCUCUUUUAGAUUUAUCAUGUAAUCUUAAACCCACACCCUUUAGACAAGAACAAUAAGAGUGGAUCUCGUAGAGUACUACGGAUGCGUAGGGGUGCUAAUACCUUCCCUUCGCAUAAUCGACUCCCGAACCCAAGAUUUGGUUGCGAGGCCUUGUCUUUUCCUUUCCUUUUUCCAGGUUUACUUCGAGCGUUUCCUUUCCCUCCCUUUGGGAUAAAUAACGCAUGGUGGCGACUCUUCUGUCAUUUCUUUUUCGCCGGUUGUUUUUUUUUCGCAGGUUGCGACAGCUGGCGACUCUGCUGGGGACUAUGGUUUCCCUAAGCGAGUCCCUCUUAGCUUUUGUAGGUUCUUUGUUUGUUGGGUGUUUAUUCUUUUGUACAGUUGUUUAUUCACCUGCUUUACCUUAUUGCAUGCAUGUACAUAUGUCUGCUGUAUCUGUGGGUUCUGUGGUUGUUUGUUUGUUUGUUGGGGUGGGAUGUUCUAUGAGAGAUAAGCCCACUACCCAGGCUUGAGAGUACACACAGGUUUUAGAGUGGAUAGUCAUGAGGCUUGCGUGGCAUGUUGCCACGUUAAGUCGUUCAUGAGACCCACAUUCCAGACGAGGUUUCCGUUGGAUAUAUUUUGUCCUAUGGGUGUUCCAUAACGACAGAAUGUUCCUCUAGAAAUCGUCGACUCUGGUGACCAUUUCCCGAGAACUCAGUCGAGGCCUCUCCUCCGAGAUGUGGUUAUGUUAGCUCUGGUGGGCGCAUUCUCGCUGCUCAAUCCGAGAACCCUGAGACUGGGGAACUUGCUUUAGGGUAUCCUGUUGAGGGGAGUCAGUGGAGGUCUUUUAUCCCGUAAUAAUGCCAAACCUUCAGUGGUAAACGUAUUAUUCUCGACUGAAGGGCUGAAGCGGACGAACUUCUGUUCUUAGAACCCACCAGUAAGGGGCGGGCUAAAUUCAGGAAACCUUAACCUUCAACCAACCCAGUUUUCUGGAGCAGAGUUUUGGUCUUGUAUUAUAUUCCUCAGUGGGUUUCUCUUCAGACAGUGCAACCCGACAGAUGUUCAAGCAGAUACAACAAUCUUGAUUGACAUGUCACUGCAUUGCAUUACAUCAUCUUGCAUGCAUAUCAUUUAAUACAUGUUUAUCUAUUCCCAGGGGUUUAUAUCUUCUACUUGAUUCUAGUCGGAAUUUUCUGGUUCUCAUCAACGGCUUAGUCUUUUUUUACAUUGUUCAUCUAUUGCAGACCGGAAUCAAGGGGUUAGAAUACCCUUUGGAAUUGAUAAACAUGUCCUUUGCAUUGCAUAACAUCAUCUGCAUAUUUGCAUCCAACAUCUCAUGCUUAUUCAUUUGCAAGGUCUUCCCUUUCUCGGUUUGGUUUGGCUGAUCUGUGCUUAUUAUGAAAGCUCCCAGGAAGAGUAAUGUGACCUAUCACUUUUUUGAUACUAAGAUCGGCCCAUUGCGUCAGAUAAAAGCUUUGAUUACUCCUGACCAUGUGGGUUUAUUCCGAGAUACUUAUGGCAACAUCUUACCUAUGGUUGAAGACUUGGAUGCUUCUCAGAGGAGUCUGAUACUAUUUGCACGUUCAAUUGUAGUUGUACACGUUGUUCUGGAAGGUCAAACCGGAAUUGAGAAGGGAAUGCCUUAAAGUUGAAUAAGCAGUGCAUCGCAUACCAUGCAUAUUAACCCUUGUUUGUUUUGCAGGUGUCACCGCAGUGUCUAAAGUUUGUUCCCUGUGUGUGGCAUUAUUGGUCCCAAGCGAGUCCACAAGUACCCGACAAAGGAAAAUCGUCCGCAACUAGCGAUGGACCAGGUACAGAAAGAGCUGGCUGAUAUGCGUGAAAGGAUGGAUCAGUUCAUGACAUUGAUGACUGGUAUGGCAGAAGGCCAGGAAAAGCUGAGGGAAUUGGUUGAGCAACCGAGACCCGAUCCAGAGUUGGAGAUACCAAAUGCUGAGGGAAACCCUGGUAACCCUGGGAACGCUGAUAACCCUGUGAACACUGGUAACGCGGGUAACGCAAAUGCUGAUGGAAACCCGGGUAAUGUUGGCAACACAGGGAAUGUUGGAAAUGGUAUUGGCGGAAGGUACAAUGUGAAUCAAGGAAUUCGGAUUAACGGGCGCCCCGUUACUGAAGAUUGUCAGUAUGAUCAAUUUUCUUUGCACGACGAAGCCCUCGAGACCACUCGCCGUAUGGAUGAGCUUGCUGAGAAGCUCAAAUCUUUGGAGUCUCAAAAUUCCUUAGGUUUUGAUGUCACAAAUCUUGGUCUGGUUCAGGGAGUAAGGAUCCCUCACAAGUUCAAACCCCCUACUUUUGAAAAAUACAACGAGGCUUCUUGCCCACGCACUCAUCUCCAAUCUUAUUUGGGAAGGUUGGGAGCUCACACGGAAGAUGAAAAGUUGUGGAUGUACUAUUUUGAAGAUAGUCUAACUGGAGCUUCUCGUGAAUGGUAUUCCCAUUUGUCUCUUACUACCAUCAAGAGCUGGAAAGACUUGGCGGAGGCUUUUGUCAAGCAAUAUCAAUACAACUUGGACAUGGCUCCAAAUCGGACCUUAUUGCAAGGAAUGUCUCAAACUGCCAAGGAGACCUUUAGAGAAUAUGCUCAGCGUUAGAGACAGAUUGUUGCGUCCGUCCAACCCCCUAUGUCUGAAAGGGAGAUGGCGGACAUGUUCAUGAACACUCUUCAAGGCAAUUAUAUUGAGAGAUUGGCUGCUUGCCCGUCAAUCAGCUUUGCAGAGAUAGGGAUUGCUGGAGAAAGGAUCGAGAGUCUGUUGAAGAUGGGCCGAAUUCAAGACAAUAGUGCUUCCAACUCAUCAGGUCCCAAGAAACCGUUUGCUGGUAACGGUCAGCGAAGAAGAGAAGGCGAGACAAGCGUUGUGUAUGCCGGCAGAGGCAGGGGCAGAGGACGCCCUAAUUAUUAUCAAGAUCAAGUGGCUGCAGUCACUAUUCCAACACCUGCUCCUCAACAGCAAUAACAACCGCAGUAUCAUCCGCAAUAGCAACCCAGGUACAACAAUCAACAACAAGGAGGUAAUCCGAGUCAGCAGAGACACUAUCAACAACGUCCAAGGCAGACGGACCGGGUCAUUGAGCCAAUCCCAAUGCCUUAUUCUGUAUUACUUCCCAGGCUGAUUGACCUGAAUCUGGUUAGGUUAAGAACUCUGGCCCCACCAAUCGAUCCCAAUAAUUUGCCUAGACGUUAUGAUGUCAACGCCAGAUGUGCUUUUCACUCCAACGCACCUGGCCAUACUACAGAUAAUUGCAAGGCUUUCCAGCUGAAGGUACAAGAUCUGAGAGAUGCCAAGGCUAUCAAUUUUUCUCCGGUGCCUAAUGUUAUCCAAAACCCGAUGCCAGCCCACGGCGGGCAGAGGAUUAAUGCUGUUGAUAGUGGGGAAACUUUGAAUUUGGUUUCUGAUGUUAAUGUUAUCCAAAACCCGAUGCCAGCCCACGGCGGGCAGAGGAUUAAUGCUGUUGAUAGUGGGGAAACUUUGAAUUUGGUUUCUGAUGUGACUAAAGUGAAGACUUCGCUAUCGGUGGUUAAAGACCAACUCUUGAAAUGACAGAUUUUCCCGGGCUGUGGGGAAGAGUGCAGAAAUUGUCAAGCUGCCGAGAACGGAUGUGACAGUUUGAGAAGAGGUAUUCAGCAACUGAUAGAUGAAGGUUAUCUUCAGUUCGAUCAGACCCGUCCAGUGAAGAAUGAUGUGUCGAUAGUGACGAUUUAUUUCACUCUUGAAGAAAUAUAUGUUCCCGAGAGGCCCGCUCCGACAACAAUAUAUUUCCCAGAAAGUACAGAACCAACAACGGUGAACAUCGAAAGUCCAACACCAGUUAUGAUUUACUCUGACAGCCCUCAACCGGCUUUUCCGGUCACCAUCACGAUACCAGGACCUGUUCCGUAUGAGAAAGACAGUGCUAUCCCGUGGCACUAUGGGGCUGAUAUCUACUUCCAGAGGUGGAAAGUUAAUAAAGAAGACGUUGACAUUGGUAGCCCCGCUGUAGACAAUGUUGGAGGGGUUGGUGGCUUCACUCGCAGUGGACGCCUAUUUGCACCCUCAACAUUGCGCACGAAUACUGAAGCUGAGGCAGCUGCCAGGGCUAAAGGAAAACAGGUAGCCACCGAAGAGGUUACUACGGAGGAAGCUCCUCCUAAGACCACAUUCGAGAAGGAAGUGGAUGAGUUUAUGAGGAUUAUCAAGAAGAGUGACUACAAGGUAGUCUACUUGCUAAAUCAGACACCCUCAAAGAUCUCUAUUCUCUCAUUAUUUAUGUGCUCUGAGGCGCACAUAGCAGCCUUGUUGAAAGUUUUGAAUAUAGCCUAUGUUCCACCAGAGAUAACUGUUAACCAGCUGGAGUCGGUAGUUUCAAAUGUAAACGCUAGCCAUGGGCUAGGUUUCACCGAUUAUGACCUGACAUCUGAGGGCAGGAAUCACAACAAAGCUUUCAUAUCAGCAAUGGAAUGCAAAGGGGCAGUGCUUUCCCAUGUUUUGGUUAUACAGGCCUUCUUCUCUAAAUUCUUGCCAAGAAGCCCUUAAUGAAAGUUGGAUUGCGAUGGCAUCAUCCUGAGGCCAAAGUAAUUUAGUUUAAGAUAGAAUAGCUGCUAAGAAGAUCUGUUUGGCGAAGUUGAGUUGCCGAGUUAAGAUUGGAACCGCAGUGUUCAAGGGCAGCCUUUUUAUGUGAUGGAUAUCCAUAUCCAGCCGGCCUAUAGUGUCUCUAGGUGCGGCCUGGUUCUUGAUGCCGUGCUGUUACUUCUACUCUCCACCAGAAGCUCAAAAUAUGAACUGAAGGUCAGGUCGUCACUGUCUGUGGUGAAGAGGAUAUUUUUGUUAGCCACCUGUCUACAUUUAAGUAUGUGGAGAUGGAUGGCGAGAUGCAUGAGAUGCUGUGUCAGGGCUUCGAAGCCAUAAACAUCAGUGAGGUCUCACCCGAAGCUGUCUUUUCACCUAAGUCUGAGAAGGUCGGGACUUCUAUCUCUUCAUACAAGCAAGCUGUUGAGGUGGUUAAAGCUGGUAAUGCCCAAGGCUGGGGAAAAUUUGUGGAGCCGAUCAUCAAAGAAGACAAGUUUGGAUUAGGGUAUACUCCGGGGUCUCAGAAGAAUAAAGUCGGUACUUUCUCCAGCGGGGGUUUGGUUUCUCCCCACAUCGUCAAUGCUGCAGAUGAAGACAAGGCUGACAGCGACUGUGACGUAGAUAGCUGGAUUCGCCCGUGUGUCCCGAGAGAAAAGCUCAACAAUUGGUCGUCUGAAAAAGUCGUCCGAGUUACUCUACUGAAAGAGUAAUUUUUAUUGUUUUCCUUUUAUUACAACGUAUUAUUUCAGAAUGUGAAACGGGUUCCACAUUACUGUCAUCUGUAGGGCCAUCCAUUUAGUUACAUUUCACAAUUAUUUUCAUCAUCAAUAAAGGACAGCUUUUGCAAACAAUUUUGUGUUCUUUUUCUUUCAAUUUUUUUUUACAGAAAAAACAAUAAAAAAUGGCAAUGUUUCUUUUCCGUUUUUCUUUCCAAAAAAAAAAAAUCUCGUUCUAAAGCAAAGCAUGAUCCUCCAUCAUGCAGAGAUGAUCACCCGGAUCUCACUGCUAACGACACUGCUAUGGCCAAGUAUGACUUCGACAAUCCUGUCUAUCAAGCCGGAGAAGGGGUCGAAACAGGAGGACCGAGCUAUUACACCUUAUCAGGAGGUGAUUGAGACUGUCAACAUCGGUACCGAAGACGACAAGAAAGAGAUCAAGAUCGGGGCCAGUCUACAGGCCGAGGUGAAAGAACAGUUGGUCAGUAUGCUUCGUGAGUACGUCGACAUCUUUGCUUGGUCCUAUCAAGAUAUGCCAGGUUUGAUACAGACAUCGUUAUGCCACAGGUUUACAUUGAAUAAGAUUAUGGCCGCGCCGGUGAAGCAGAAGUUAGCCGAACUCAUCCUGACAUGGCAAUGAAAAUCAAAAGAGAAGUUCAGAAAAGUGGGACGCAGGUUUCCUCCGUUGUGGCCAGUUACCACAUGGGUGCCAAUGAUCUUACAGUACCCAAGAAGAUGCAAAGUACGGAAUGUGCGUCGAUUACAGAGAUCUGAAUAGAGCUAGUCCGCAAACGACUUCGCCAUUACCUCAGCAUCGAAUGUUUUGUUGAUAACCAAUUCAGUUCUCCGUAUAUCUUUCCUUGGAGGUUUUCCGGUUAUAAUCAGAUCACGGAGUGGCACCGGAAGACAUGGGGAAAUGACUUCAUCACAUCAUGGGGUACUUCUGGUUACAAGGUAUGCUUUUUGGGUUGAAGAACGCCGGGGAAACGUACCAACGGGCCUAUGGUUAAACUUUUUCAUGAUAUGGAUUUCACAAAGAGAUGAAUGCUAGUGAUGAUAUGAUUGCCAAGUCCCAAACAGAAGAAAACAUCUGGACAAUCUGCAAAAGUUGCUAUUGAACAUCUGAGAAAGUAAAGUUAAGGGUGAAUCCGAACAAUGCACUUUUGAGUGCGAACUGGUAAGCUGUUAGGUUUCAUUGUAAGUGAAGACGGAAUAAGGUAGAUCCUCGCGAAGUAAAAGCUAUUCAAGAAAUUGCCUGCACCAAAAUAGAAGAGAGUUCGUGGCUUCCUGGCAGAUUGAAGCUCAUUUUUCAGGUUCAUAUUAAUCUUAAUAGCCACAUGCUAGCCGUUCAAGCUGAGAAAACGAGCAAGGGGUCAGGUGGAUGAAUGAUGUCAGAAAUCCUUUGAAAGGAAUAAAAGAGUAUUUGCAGAGCCCCCGAUUCCUAAUGCCUCCAGUAGAGGGAAGACCGUUGAUCAUGUACUGACUGUGUUAGAAAGGUCAAUGGGUGUGUGCUUCGGUCAGCAUGCGAUCAGGUCGAAAAGAGCAUGCAAUAUACUACUUAGCAAAAGUUUCGCGACUGUGAACAAAGAUACUCACGCUCGAGAAAACUUGCUGCGCUUUGGCAUGGCUGCUCGCCGAUUAAGACAGUAUAUUGUUGACUCACACGACUCUAUUAACAAAGAUGGAUCAAUCAAGUAAUUUUUGAAAAGCCACGGGCUACCCGAAGGGUUUGCCUAGGUGGCAAAUGAUACUGAUAGAAGUAUGCAUCCAAUACACUUCGCAGAAAGCCAUCAAAGAAGUGUCUUGUCAGACACUUGUAGAGCGAACGAUUGAUGAUUACCAAAUCUAUAGGUUUCGACUUUCCUUGACUGAGGACAUAUGUUUCCAAUCGAAGAUUGCGAGGAACCACUGCCGAGGAGGGCCUUACCCUAUCCAAAUGGAUUAUGAUGAUUUUUUUUUUUUUUUUUUUUUUUUUUUUUUUUUUUUUUUUUUUUGACUGGGGCGUCACGUCAACUAGGUUGCGGAGUUGGUGCAACGUGUUUGAUCACCGCCGAGGGAGGUUCAUAUGCCAUUUUGGUGCCAUAAUAACUUUGCCGCUACCCAACAUGAAGCCGAGUAUGGAAUAACUUGUAUCCUAGGACUUGAAGGAACCAUCAACCUAACGGAUUAAAAGCUGGAUGUUACGGGGAUUCAACUUGGUCAUUCAAUCAAACAACGGAAUGGUAUAGCCCACAGCUCAUUUGGUUCCUAUACAGAACUACACGAGAAGAUUGUGACUUCUUUACGAUCGGUGAAGCUGGCUUACAUUCCCUACGUGAAGAAACCAAUUUUGUUGAUCGCUUUGGCUACCUUGUCUUCGAUGAUUAGUGCUGUAUUGCAACUACGUACCUAGAAUUGAUUAUCUUCUGCUUGAUAUACCCGCUAUGUGUUGGCUGCCGAUGCAGUAUAUCGUGAUGUGAAGCCGUGGUACAAUGACUCAAGCGUUUCCGAAGAGUCAAGAUACCCAAUCGAGGCGUCUUCGAAUGAUGCGUGGGAGUCCGGUAGCUUCUUUCUGAACUCAGAUGAUACUCUGUACAAGCGAAAUUUCGACAUGGUCUUGCUCAGAUGUGUGGACAAGCAGGAAGCGGACAUGUUAAUGCAAGAAGUAAAUGAGGGAUCUUUCGGUACCCAUGCCGAAGGACAUGCAAUGGCUAAGAAGCUGUUAAGAUCGGGGUAUUAUUGGUUAACAUGCAGGCAGACUGUUACGCAUACGCCCGAAAGUGUCACAAGUGCCAGAUUUACGCAGAUAAAGUACAUAUCCCUCCCAGCCCUUUGAAUGUCAUGUCGUCACCUUGGACUUUUGCAAUGUGGGGCAUUGAUAUGAUUGGCAAGAUCGAACCGACUGCUUCCAACGGCCAUAGAUUCAUUUUGGUCGCUAUUAAUUACUUCACUAAGUGGGUGGAAGCAGCAUCCUAUGCGAAUGUUACGAAGCAGGUGGUAGCCAGAUUUCUGAAAAGAGAUAUCAUCUGCAGAUACGGAGUUCCCGAGCGGAUCAUUACUGAUAAUGGUUCGAAUCUCAAUAACAAAAUAAUGGCAGAGCUUUGCCGGGACUUCAAAAUCGAGCAUCACAAUUCUUCUCCUUACAGGCCAAAGAUGAAUGGCGCUGUUGAGGCAGCUAACAAGAAUAUUAAGAAGAUUGUGCAAAAGAUGGUGGUAACAUACAAGGACUAGCAUGAGAUGUUACCAUUCGCAUUACAUGGGUAUCGAACUUCAAUUAGAACAUCCACCGGGGCAACACCUUAUCAGCUUGUAUAUGGCAUGGAAGCAGUUCUUCCGGUCGAAGUCGAAAUUCCUUAUUUGCGGGUCCUGACGGAUGUUAAGCUGGACGAAGCAGAAUGGGUCCGUUCUCGAUACAAUCAACUGAGCCUAGUUGAGGAAAAUAGACUAGCAGCUAUAUGCCAUGGCCAAUUAUAUCAGAGACGAAUGAAGAGAGCAUUUGAUCAGAAAGUGCGCCCUCGGGAGUAUCAAGUCGGUGAAUUGGUACUCAAAAGAAUUCUUCCUCACAACACAGAUCACAGGGGCAAAUGGACACCGAACUAUGAGGGUCCAUACGUGGUUAAAAGGGUUUUCUCUGGCGGAGCUUUGAUGCUAACAACCAUGGAUGGCGAAGACUUCCCAUCCCCUGUCAACUACGUGGUUAAAAGGGUUUUCUCUGGCGGAGCUUUGAUGCUAACAACCAUGGAUGGCGAAGACUUCCCAUCCCCUGUCAACUCAGACGCAGUUAAAAAAUACUUCGCAUAAUUGACCCGCUGGACAAAGGAAAAGGAGUCCAGGCAAAAAAGGGGCAUCCCGGUGAACCAAGAGAAAAAAAACAGAAUAAAGAGGUUCAGGCAAAAAUUAGGGAUAUAAAAAAGAAAAUGUACACCCGGUGAGUCGAAGACCCGAAAGGGCGGCUCAGGCAAAAAAAGGUAUCCCGGUGGAUUGAAAACCCAAAAGGGCGGUCCACGCAAAAGAGGGAAUAAGCGAAUGACUGUAAUAUGAGUUUAAUCCAUGUUAUAUCACCGUUUCAUGCAAUCCGGCAAUCUUCGAAGGUUAAAGACCGACUAAUCAUCCACUUCAGAAAGCAAGAUGAGCAUAGCGUCUUGAGGUCAUACGAGCCAUAGCAGAGUCGAAACUCAGUGGGACCCCGUAUCCACAUUGCCAUUAGGAUAGUUUCUUUUGUUCAAUUUAUAGCGAUCGCCUCUUUUCAGGGAUCAGCUUCCUUGGGACCCCGUAUCCACAUUGCCAUUAGGAUAGUUUCUUUUGUUCAAUUUAUAGCGAUCGCCUCUUUUCAGGGAUCAGCUUCCUGAUGUACUCGCCUAUUCCUGGCACAAAUUUUUCAACCAAUAAAAUUCAAAUAAUUCAGUUAAAGAGCCUCUUUAUUUUUCAUUUAUCAGUUUGUUUGCAAAAGAGGUCUAAAUUCUUGAUUAAACAUAUUGCAUCUGAACAUAAUGGUGGCUUUUGCAGAUGAUUUGCACCGGAAAACAUUUAAAAUUGCUUUGAAUGUGCUUAAUCCCGGACAGUGAAUUCAAACCGAGUAAUUCCCCCGGGACAAACGUGUGUGAUUGCAGGUCACAGGAACCAGAUGCCAAGUCAUGAAUCCUCAAGCGGUUGACAAAGUCUCUCCUCAGCAGAGCAUGUCCCCCAGUAGAGUUGCACCUUGUAUCCCCAACAACAACGGAGUAGUUGCAAACCCAACUGACAAGAGGGUGGUGUCCCUAGUGUUCAUCUCAUUCCCCAGCAGAUUAUUUUUAACAGAUUUAUUUUAAUCCUCAGCCUGAGGACGAUUAGCAAGUUCAUAUCCCCAGCAAAGGUCGAUUCCUACGACAUUUCCCCAGGAAGUGCUCUCCCCGCAGACUCUCCUCACAGAGCCUCGCCAAACAAAGUUCCCAUAGUUGAUACUCCCCCCAGCAAGGUCAACUUUCCAAAAAAAAGAAAGCCGAUUUAUUUUCGGUGGCUCCCCGGCCCCGGCAGACGGAUCAUUCCCCACAGAGCAUUCAAGGAUUGAUACAGCGAUCCGUUCCCCACCGGAGUUUGCUUCCCCAAGUAGAUUUCUUUUUGCACCAUGAAAAACAUUUGCAUUUGCAUGCAUAUCAAGCAUACACAUAAGCUGAUAAACAGGUUCUUCAAAGCAGACCGAAGAAUUACUAGAGAACCAAAGUCAUGAGAUUCAGCCAGAGGAUCGAGUGUGUGUGAUCCAGCAGGAGGGUCAUUUCGAAGAUUCAGCCUGAGAAUCGUUUUCCGAUGAGCCAGCCUAAGGUUCAAUUUGAAGAUUCAGCCAGAGAGUCGCCUACAAGCGUUAUUUCCCCAGCAAGCCAACUAGAGGAGUAGAUUGACAGCUCAACAGAAAAUCAACCUACAAGAGGAUCCAGCCCGCGGAUCGCAAUUUAAAAACAAAGUCUAAUUGAAGAGUCGUUACAACAUGUUCUAGCCUGAAGAAUAUGUACGAAGCCCAAAAAGUGGAAUAUUCUCGAAGCUGCAUAUCUAACAUGAAGAGUGGGUGUAGAUUUCGAAGAAGGGUCAACCAGCGCAUGCCUCAGAUGCGAGAUCCUGAUGAUGGGAAUUUAUCAUCAAAACGAUCCAGAUCUAGCCAGAAGAUCGAAGUCAGGUCUAGCCCGAAGACCGAAAAUAGAUUCAGCCAGAGAAUCAAAGAAAGAAGAUCUAGCAAGAAGAUCGAAGUAGAUCUAGCCAGAAGAUCGAGGUAGAUCUAGCCAGAAGAUCGAAGUCAGGUCUAGCCCGAAGACCAAAAAUAGAUUCAGUCAGAGAAUCAAAGAAAGAAGAUCUAGCCAGAAGAUCGAAGUAGAUCUAGCCAGAAGAUUGAAGUCAUGUCUAGCCAGAAGACAAAAUCGUAUCCAACCCGAGGAUCAAAAUUAAUAUCCAACCAGAGGACUAAAUUGAGUAUAGAUUCAGCCAGAGGAUCGAAACUCCAGAUUAAGUCAAAAGACUGAUUCAGAUUCGGCCAGAGGAUCGGAAGAAAAAUAAACAACACGAUGUAUUUCAACAUUUUUAUGGUGUUCUCAGAGCGCAAAUUUUCGGUCUGUCUUUGGUAUUCAAUCACAGCUCACCCUGUUUGUCUGAUAAGCUGUUUGCUUUCAUCCUGCUCGGGUUAGCUGAUGAUUGAAUAGGGGCAGCUGUAACACCCCAAAAUUUUCCCUCCUCAUUCAUGCAUUCACUUUUAGGUCAUUUAACAUUUCAUAUUGCAUUUCAUCAUGUCAAUCAGAAUCAGAUUCAAGAAGCUUGAAUAUCAUCCAAGACACAUUGUGGGUUCUAUCCGGAUGAUCAGUCAACACAAGGGAAAAACUUGAGUUACUUACAACAGGUUCAAAUGGGGUAUAUUCAUCAUUCACAACGCUAAUCUUGAAGGAGCAAAAAUUUGUUCCUAAGUUGUCAUGCUCGCUAGGCGAGCAGCAUGGUUCGCCUAGCGAACCUUGAACUGUCAUGCUCGCUAGGCGAGCAAAUCCUUCGCUAGGCAAAGCCCAUGCAUUUUUGAAAUAUAUCAGAAAAAUCUUGGGCUUGAGCUGCCCUCAUUUGAGCCCACAAAGCCACGAAAAUCAGGUUAUAAAUACUAGAGUUUCAAUGGAACAAAAGGCUGAAAAAAAGGGGAGAAAAAGAGGAGACCUACGAACUAAUCUGCAGUAGCCUCCAGACAGCUCUGAAAAGUUCACUCUGACUCACACACUUUUUCACCUCCAUCUCACGCAAACCCUAACGUUGCUUUGCAAACCCAGCCGUGCCAUUCGAUUUCAAUCGAUCUCUCCAAUCAGGUUUACCCUAUUUCCGCUGCUUUUAUGCUUUCAAUUUGAAUUCUCUGAAUGUAUGGGGUUUCAUUGGGUUUUUCCCACGGGUUUAGAUAUACAUAAAUGUAGAACAAUACCUUGAAUGUUCAAUCGUUUCGUUUCUGAGAUGGAGGCCAUAGGGUUUGGGUUACCGAGAUCGGACUGUUAUCAACGAAGAACCCAAAACCCGCAGGCCUUCGCUAGCACCUUCGCUAGGCAAGCCUGCAGCGAAGCUUCGCUAAGCCUUUGCUAGGCGAAGCAGUAGCGAGCGUGACAGUAAUUGAUUUUUUUCUGUUUGCUCUAAUCUGUUUUGUGUUCGUCAUGGCAUGUUUUCUCCUGAUUCCAUCCUGUUACUCUAACCUGUUUGUUGAGUUUUUGUGAGAGCUCACCUGACCCCUGAAGAGAUAGCUUGCUUAGUAUCCCACUUUAUUUGUGGGAUACCAUCUGGAGAUUUAUUCCGAUCACCUGUGCUGACUUGCUUUCUUUGGUGGUGCUAGCUUGAGAGAUCUCUGGGUUUCUUAUUUCUUUAGUUGCUCUUACUUUGGAUCUUUAUCCGUGCGGUAGAUCUCUUGAUCCCUUUUACAUUUUUCCCGCAUUUUACCGCUUUCUUAGCUGGAAGACCUCGAUAGGAGGCAAUGUUUUCGUGUGUUUAAUUUUGUGCCCAAAGACCUCCCAGAAGAGGCACCAGUGCUAAAGACCUCCAUGAAGAGGCAAUUGAUGGAAAAAGGGAUUAGUAGUCAAUCCCCCGUUAUUCAGUGCGUCGUUCUUUAAGAUCACACUACGUGUCGAUGCUUCAGAACAAAAGCCCAAGAUCUUUUGUCCGGUCGGUCAGUGGAGAGGGUUCCAUCUUUAUUCAGUGCGUCGUUCUUUAAGAUCACACUACGUGUCGAUGCUUCAGAACAAAAGCCCAAGAUCUUUUGUCCGGUCGGUCAGUGGAGAGGGUUCCAUCUUUCUGAACCCCCACGCCUUGUCAUGACCUCACCCUGUCCAGGGUUAAGAGCUAUGAGGUCUUAUCCUCAUUACCCUUUUGAUCUGCUCACCCUGACGUUCAGUGUCAGUGGUUAAGAGCCCGUUUAAUUACCCUUCCAUGGCUUGUUUGUCGAGGUUGAUAUGACCCCUCUUGACUAAAGCCCUACCCAUAGAUGCUUGAGCCCCCCUGGUUGGUGUGUUUACUUUAUGCAUGUCUGUUUUGUAUGGUGUGAUCGUCUCCCCAUAGGAUUACUAGGCUUCGUAUAGUCUCCCGUUUGCAUGUCAAUUAAGGUAGCACGGUUCCUUCGUCUAGGACUUCCUCUUGCGUGAGCAUUCCUAAAACGCAAACAAACCCAUUGUUUUUUUUCUUCUCCUAAAAACACGUUCACUCCUUCUACUACAGGCGAGUAAGUCUCCAAAGGCCGAGUAUCCGGUAGAUUGCGCAGUAACGUCGUUCGUCCAAAACAAACCCCUAGCUGGCCGAACUACGUUUUGCUCUGAUUCUCAUUCCAGAUGAGAUACGUAGGCAUAAGACGCGAUGUCUUAGCGAGCACACAUCCCUCUAACCCAUAGGUAGCCGAGCUACGAAGACUCUGAUUCUCAUAUUCAGAUGAGAUACGUAUGCAGUGGAUGCGACAUCCGUGCGAGUCAUUUUCUUUUGACCCCUCUUUUAGUAAAUAGUACAUUAGAUAAACCCACACCCUUUAGACAAGAACAACAAGAGUGGAUCCCGUAGAGUACUACGGAUGCGUAGGGGUGCUAAUACCUUCCCUUCGCAUAAUCGACUCCCGAACCCAAGAUUUGGUUGCGAGGACUUGUCUUUUCCUUUCCUUUUUCCAGGUUUACUUCGAGCGUUUCCUUUCCCUCCCUUUGGAAUAAAUAACGCACGGUGACGACUCUUCUGUCAUUUCUUUUUCGCCGGUUGUUUUUUUUUCGCAGGUUGCGACAGAGUGAUGAUUAUAUAGGGCUUGGAAUUGUAAUGGCAUUAAGCUCAGUUAACUCCUAUGUUCAAAGUUUGUUGAAUGUGAUCACUAAACCUCUGUCAAUUAGUUAGUUAGGUCCUUGAAUCAAUUAACUUCUGUUAAAACUCUUAGAAAAUUAUUUUUGUUAGAUGUUAGUUAGUUUUUCAAGUGUAAGUUAGUUGGAUGUUUAAACUCUGUUAUAAAUUUCAUUUAAAUGUUAGUUUGUUCUGUUAGGGACUUUGAAUGCGUGAAUCUGUUAGUUUUAAUUACGUCAAGCUCCAUUGAAUUUAUCUAUGCAAGUUUGUUAUAUGUUAAAUUCUGUUAGAGAAAAAAAUUAGUUUCAGUUAAGUUCAGUUUAGAUGUCAGUUAGGAUGUGAGCUUGUUAUGUUGGUUAUGAGUUAAUUUAAUAAAAACAGUUAGUGUAGGUUAGUUAAAAAAGAGUUAGUGAUAUUGCUCUAUAAAAAAAGAUUUGUUAAGCAUGUUGUUAUGAGCUUUAGUUAGAGUUUAGAAUGGAUUAUGCAAGCUAUUUUCCUCUUAAUUGUGUAUGCGUACAAACUGAUUUGUAUGGUUGUUAGGAUGCUAGGAUUGUGAUGUUAUUUGAAUGAAAUUGAAGUGAGUUAAUGGUGUUAGUGAUGUGUUUGUACAUGCUGCUUUGGAUAUGAUGAUAUUUGUUUUGAAACUCUGUUAGAAUGGGUUAACUUGUUAAAUUUCGGUUAAUGGGUGGUGUCUGAAAUCGGUUAUGGUUAGUAGGUUAGUUAUAUCUAAUUGUUAAAUUUUGUUAGAUUAAUGUUGCAUUUGGGAAGCUAGCCUUGUUAGUUGAUAUAAUGCAGCCAUGAACUGAUACAUUUGAAUGUUUCUGCUUCUUGUCACAUUUAAAUUUGGAGCAAGAAGUUGUAUGUCAUUAAGACUUACUUAUCCAAUUGACUAUUGCAGAACGUAAUGCUAGGUUAGCAACUGAAAUUUUAAUGUCCUCAUGUCAAAUUAUGUUGCAUGCUAUUGAAGUGUUGUAAUAUGCAUUGACCAUCUGUCACGCUGCGAAAAAUACAGAGUCUCCAUCAAAUUUUA
This 17898-nucleotide long non-coding RNA is filed under the name Lathyrus oleraceus (garden pea). RNAcentral describes it as "Pisum sativum (pea) long non-coding RNA (PSAT_LNC000941)". The record is from RNAcentral. Lineage: Eukaryota; Viridiplantae; Streptophyta; Magnoliopsida; Fabales; Fabaceae.